AGCAGUGAGGAAUUUUCCGCAAUGGGCGAAAGCCUGACGGAGCAAUGCCCCGUGAAGGAAGAAGGCCUGUGGGUCGUAAACUUCUUUUACCAAGGAAGAAAAAAUUGACGUUACUUGGUGAAUAAGCACCGGCAAACUCUGUGCCAGCAGCCGCGGUAAUACAGGGGGUGCUAGCGUUAUCCGGAAUGAUUGGGCGUAAAGAGUUUUAAGGUGGCCUUUCCAGUCUGCGGUUAAAAAUUAGGGCUCAACCCUAUAAAAGCGGUAGAAACUAAAAGGCUAGAGUGCGGUAGGGGCAAGGGGAACUCCUAGUGUAGCGGUGAAAUGCAUUGAUAUUAGGAAGAACACCAAAGGCGAAGGCACUUUGCUGGGCCAGCACUAACACUGAUA
Molecule: ribosomal RNA, 387 nt
Filed under: uncultured bacterium
Lineage: Bacteria
Description: bacterial SSU rRNA
Rfam family: Bacterial small subunit ribosomal RNA
Source: RNAcentral